Molecule: non-coding RNA, 202 nt
Organism: Pelobates cultripes (western spadefoot toad)
Lineage: Eukaryota; Metazoa; Chordata; Amphibia; Anura; Pelobatidae
Source: the annotation of a GenBank genome assembly
GGGAAGAAAAAGGAUCUUUCUGAAAAGAGUGAAAUAGUACAAUGUCUUGGACGAGGUAUGAAAACAUUAGAUAUUUCACGAAAACUUAAGCGUGAUCAUCGCACUAUUAAGAGAUUUGUGGCUGAUUCAGAGCACAGACGGGUUCGUGCAGAUAAAGGCACAUUGAGGAAGAUUUCUGCCAGAUCCCUGCAUCGGAUCAAGG